Molecule: ribosomal RNA, 253 nt
Filed under: uncultured bacterium
Lineage: Bacteria
Description: partial 16S ribosomal RNA
Rfam family: Bacterial small subunit ribosomal RNA
Source: RNAcentral
UACGGGGGGGGCAAGCGUUGUUCGGAAUUACUGGGCGUAAAGGGCUCGUAGGCGGCCAACUAAGUCGGAUGUGAAAUCCCCAGGCUCAACCUGGGAACUGCAUCCGAUACUGGAUGGCUUGAAUUCGGGAGAGGGAUGCAGAAUUCCAGGUGUAGCGGUGAAAUGCGUAGAUAUCUGGAGGAAUACCGGUGGCGAAGGCGGCAUCCUGGACCGACAUUGACGCUGAGGAGCGAAAGCUAGGGUAGCAAACAGG